GCCUGGCACUUAAGCUGUUGCCAUCUUGGUUUUUUGGAGCUAGCCGUGACCAUAUUUGUGCGGCUGCUAACUACAGUGGCCGACGUGACAAUGUGAAUGUCCCUAUAGUCAGUGUUUGGUUUGUCUGUUCUGGGCUACUGUAGCAACAUGGUGGUGCAACGUGGCGUUCUCAGACAAGGGCUGACUCUCUAUGUAGAUAUAAACAGCUCAUCUUAAAGGCCCAGACACAAUAAACCGACGUCAAAGAGCUAGCAGUAACGGAAGCCAACCGUUCUGUUGCCUCACGUCACCUGUAUCCUGGCUAGAAAGUUGCACGUGAACGUCAGCACGUAUGUUCUGCACCUGCAUGAGAGGAAAUAAAUCUCACCAUUAGCAGACGGCAGUCGUCUUUAACCGUUGUUCAAAAAGGGAAACAGGAAGACUGUCUUAACGGGUCCAUGUCAUUGGUUCGACAUCCCAUUAGUCCGACUGUCCGCGGUGCUGAACGGCUCGCAGCGGGCGUAUGGUGCGCCGCGACCGGCUUGAGGCGGAGCAGGCUCACAGCUUAUGUGUUUGUCACUUUCUUUUUCAUUUUAACCCACACCAUGAUCUUUUCCUGACCCUAACCAAGUGGUUUUUGUGCCUAAACCUAACCAGACCUUAACCACAGGGCAUCAUGAUGAUUUCAGAACGGACUUCGGAACAAUGGGUUUAAUAUGGUCGGACCAAUGGGAUGUCGAACCAAUGGGCUGUCGAACCAAUGGGCUGUUCCCGUCUUAACACUAGUUAGCCAGUUAGCACAUUAACAACACAGUCCAUUGUUGAAUUUGCUGUGCGCCAGUGAACAAUGACACAAACCAUCAGGAAAUGCUUCUGCUAAAGAGAAAAACCUUAUGGAACAAGUUUCUUUCAGUCUCACUUCCUCUUGAUUUUUGUUUACUUUCCUCUCUUCUCAUGUGCUGAGCAGAAAUGACACUCAGAGCGAUUUAAUUCACCCACAGGCUCCACACUGCACACCGCAAAAACUUGGGUCAUGGAUUGUCACCAAUGGCCCGACAAUGAUGGACAGCCACCUGUUGGCUUGGUGUGUCAGAGCCAAACAAAAACACAACAAUUCUUAUUUUCAGGUACUCUGCAUCUAUGACAGCCAAUGAGAAUGAGUUUCAUCCUACCUUGCAGUGUGGCCGUCAGUGCAGAUAAAAACACUGUGAACAGACUUGCUCAGCUGAAGACACACUCCUGCCUGACGACGCCUCCAGAUCCUCAGGAGGCAGAAUCACUUCC
Long non-coding RNA from Epinephelus fuscoguttatus (brown-marbled grouper), 1263 nucleotides. RefSeq lists it as uncharacterized. The transcript has 3 exons. The record is from RefSeq and is a predicted model, not a curated record. Lineage: Eukaryota; Metazoa; Chordata; Actinopteri; Perciformes; Serranidae.